CCUACGGGUGGCAGCAGUGAGGAAUAUUGGUCAAUGGGCGGGAGCCUGAACCAGCCAAGUCGCGUGAGGGAAGACGGUCCUACGGAUUGUAAACCUCUUUUGCCGGGGAGCAACGGGGUCCUUGCGAGGGCCCGCUGAGAGUACCCGGAGAAAAAGCAUCGGCUAACUCCGUGCCAGCAGCCGCGGUAAUACGGAGGAUGCGAGCGUUAUCCGGAUUUAUUGGGUUUAAAGGGUGCGUAGGCGGGCUGUGAAGGCAGCGGUCAAAUGUCGGGGCUCAACCCCGGGACCGCUCUGGAAACUGGCGGGCUGGAGUGCGGGAGAGGUAAGCGGAAUUCCUAGUGUAGCGGUGAAAUGCGUAGAUAUUAGGAGGAACACCAGCGGCGAAGGCGGCUUACUGGACCGUGACUGACGUUGAGGCUCGAAAGCGUGGGGAGCAAACAGGAUUAGAUACCCCUGUAGUC
This 461-nucleotide ribosomal RNA is filed under the name uncultured bacterium. Its description in RNAcentral is "partial 16S ribosomal RNA". It matches the Rfam family "Bacterial small subunit ribosomal RNA", at positions 338 to 795 of the family's 1533-position model. The record is from RNAcentral.